Molecule: long non-coding RNA, 7204 nt
Filed under: Sorghum bicolor (sorghum)
Lineage: Eukaryota; Viridiplantae; Streptophyta; Magnoliopsida; Poales; Poaceae
Description: long non-coding RNA (SBIC_LNC015499)
Source: RNAcentral
CAAACAAAAAAAAGGAAUGCAACACGAGGACUUCCCAGGAGGUCACCCAUCCUAGUACUACUCUCGCCCAAGCACGCUUAACUUCGGAGUUCUGAUGGGAUCCGGUGCUCUAGUGCUGGUAUGAUCGCAUCCGACAUACCGUGCGUUCUCCUCCCCUUUAUGCCCGCGCCUCCGUGUACGGCCCGCCCAUAGCUCCUUCGACGGCGCCGCCUAGGAACGCGGAGAAAAUAUGACAAAGGAACGGCCAAAAAUAAAAAGAAAGACCUUUCUUUUGAAAAAACAAACAAAAAAAAAGGAAUGCAACACGAGGACUUCCCAGGAGGUCACCCAUCCUAGUACUACUCUCGCCCAAGCACGCUUAACUUCGGAGUUCUGAUGGGAUCCGGUGCUUUAGUGCUGGUAUGAUCGCAUCCGACAUACCGUGCGUUCUCCUCCCCUUUAUGCCCGCGCCUCCGUGUACGGCCCGCCCAUAGCUCCUUCGACGGCGCCGCCUAGGAACGCGGAGAAAAUAUGACAAAGGAACGGCCAAAAAUAAAAAGAAAGACCUUUCUUUUGAAAAAACAAACAAAUAAAAGGAAUGCAACACGAGGACUUCCUAGGAGGUCACCCAUCCUAGUACUACUCUCGCCCAAGCACGCUUAACUUCGGAGUUCUAAUGGGAUCCGGUGCUUUAGUGCUGGUAUGAUCGCAUCCGACAUACCGUGCGUUCUCCUCCCCUUUAUGCCCGCGCCUCCGUGUACGGCCCGCCCAUAGCUCCUUCGACGGCGCCGCCUAGGAACGCGGAGAAAAUAUGACAAAGGAACGGCCAAAAAUAAAAAGAAAGACCUUUCUUUUGAAAAAACAAACAAAAAAAAGGAAUGCAACACGAGGACUUCCCAGGAGGUCACCCAUCCUAGUACUACUCUCGCCCAAGCACGCUUAACUUCGGAGUUCUGAUGGGAUCCGGUGCUUUAGUGCUGGUAUGAUCGCAUCCGACAUACCGUGCGUUCUCCUCCCCUUUAUGCCCGCGCCUCCGUGUACGGCCCGCCCAUAGCUCCUUCGACGGCGCCGCCUAGGAACGCGGAGAAAAUAUGACAAAGGAACGGCCAAAAAUAAAAAGAAAGACCUUUCUUUUGAAAAAACAAACAAAAAAAAGGAAUGCAACACGAGGACUUCCCAGGAGGUCACCCAUCCUAGUACUACUCUCGCCCAAGCACGCUUAACUUCGGAGUUCUGAUGGGAUCCGGUGCUUUAGUGCUGGUAUGAUCGCAUCCGACAUACCGUGCGUUCUCCUCCCCUUUAUGCCCGCGCCUCCGUGUACGGCCCGCCCAUAGCUCCUUCGACGGCGCCGCCUAGGAACGCGGAGAAAAUAUGACAAAGGAACGGCCAAAAAUAAAAAGAAAGACCUUUCUUUUGAAAAAACAAACAAAAAAAAGGAAUGCAACACGAGGACUUCCCAGGAGGUCACCCAUCCUAGUACUACUCUCGCCCAAGCACGCUUAACUUCGGAGUUCUGAUGGGAUCCGGUGCUUUAGUGCUGGUAUGAUCGAAUCCGACAUACCGUGCGUUCUCCUCCCCUUUAUGCCCGCGCCUCCGUGUACGGUCCGCCCAUAGCUCCUUCGACGGCGCCGCCUAGGAACGCGGAGAAAAUAUGACAAAGGAACGGCCAAAAAUAAAAAGAAAGACCUUUCUUUUGAAAAAACAAACAAAUAAAAGGAAUGCAACACGAGGACUUCCCAGGAGGUCACCCAUCCUAGUACUACUCUCGCCCAAGCACGCUUAACUUCGGAGUUCUGAUGGGAUCCGGUGCUUUAGUGCUGGUAUGAUCGCAUCCGACAUACCGUGCGUUCUCCUCCCCUUUAUGCCCGCGCCUCCGUGUACGGCCCGCCCAUAGCUCCUUCGACGGCGCCGCCUAGGAACGCGGAGAAAAUAUGACAAAGGAACGGCCAAAAAUAAAAAGAAAGACCUUUCUUUUGAAAAAACAAACAAAUAAAAGGAAUGCAACACGAGGACUUCCCAGGAGGUCACCCAUCCUAGUACUACUCUCGCCCAAGCACGCUUAACUUCGGAGUUCUGAUGGGAUCCGGUGCUUUAGUGCUGGUAUGAUCGCAUCCGACAUACCGUGCGUUCUCCUCCCCUUUAUGCCCGCGCCUCCGUGUACGGCCCGCCCAUAGCUCCUUCGACGGCGCCGCCUAGGAACGCGGAGAAAAUAUGACAAAGGAACGGCCAAAAAUAAAAAGAAAGACCUUUCUUUUGAAAAAACAAACAAAAAAAAGGAAUGCAGCACCAGGACUUCCCGGAAGGUCACCCAUCCAAAUACAACUCUCGCCGAACCACGUUUAACUUCGAAUUUCUAAUGGAAUCCGGGGCUUUAGAGCUGGAAUGAUCGCAUCCGACAUACCGUGCGUUCUCCUCCCCUUUAUGCCCGCGCCUCCGUGUACGGCCCGCCCAUAGCUCCUUCGACGGCGCCGCCUAGGAACGCGGAGAAAAUAUGACAAAGGAGCGGCCAAAAAUAAAAAGAAAGACCUUUCUUUUGAAAAAACAAACAAAUAAAAGGAAUGCAACACGAGGACUUCCUAGGAGGUCACCCAUCCUAGUACUACUCUCGCCCAAGCACGCUUAACUUCGGAGUUCUGAUGGGAUCCGGUGCUUUAGUGCUGGUAUGAUCGCAUCCGACAUACCGUGCGUUCUCCUCCCCUUUAUGCCCGCGCCUCCGUGUACGGCCCGCCCAUAGCUCCUUCGACGGCGCCGCCUAGGAACGCGGAGAAAAUAUGACAAAGGAACGGCCAAAAAUAAAAAGAAAGACCUUUCUUUUGAAAAAACAAACGCCUCCGUGUACGGCCCGCCCAUAGCUCCUUCGACGGCGCCGCCUAGGAACGCGGAGAAAAUAUGACAAAGGAACGGCCAAAAAUAAAAAGAAAGACCUUUCUUUUGAAAAAACAAACAAAAAAAAGGAAUGCAACACGAGGACUUCCCAGGAGGUCACCCAUCCUAGUACUACUCUCGCCCAAGCACGCUUAACUUCGGAGUUCUGAUGGGAUCCGGUGCUUUAGUGCUGGUAUGAUCGCAUCCGACAUACCGUGCGUUCUCCUCCCCUUUAUGCCCGCGCCUCCGUGUACGGCCCGCCCAUAGCUCCUUCGACGGCGCCGCCUAGGAACGCGGAGAAAAUAUGACAAAGGAACGGCCAAAAAUAAAAAGAAAGACCUUUCUUUUGAAAAAACAAACAAAUAAAAGGAAUGCAACACGAGGACUUCCCAGGAGGUCACCCAUCCUAGUACUACUCUCGCCCAAGCACGCUUAACUUCGGAGUUCUGAUGGGAUCCGGUGCUUUAGUGCUGGUAUGAUCGCAUUCGACAUACCGAUGCGUUCUCAUCCCCGUUAUGCGCCGCGCCUCUGUGUACGGCCCGCCCAUAGCUCCUUUGACUGCGCCUCGUAGGAUCGCGGAGAAUAUAUGACAAAGGCACGGCCAAACAUAAAACGAAAGACCUCUCUUUUGCAACAACAAACAAAAUAAAGGAAUGCAACACGAGGACUUCCCAGGAGGUCACCCAUCCUAGUACUAGUCUCGCUCAAGCACGCUGAUCUUCGGAGUUCUGAUGGGAUCCGGUGCUUUAGUGCUGGUAUGAUCGCAUCCGACAUACCGUGCGUUCUCCUCCCCUUUAUGCCCGCGCCUCCGUGUACGGCCCGCCCAUAGCUCCUUCGACGGCGCCGCCUAGGAACGCGGAGAAAAUAUGACAAAGGAACGGCCAAAAAUAAAAAGAAAGACCUUUCUUUUGAAAAAACAAACAAAAAAAAGGAAUGCAACACGAGGACUUCCCAGGAGGUCACCCAUCCUAGUACUACUCUCGCCCAAGCACGCUUAACUUCGGAGUUCUGAUGGGAUCCGGUGCUUUAGUGCUGGUAUGAUCGCAUCCGACAUACCGUGCGUUCUCCUCCCCUUUAUGCCCGCGCCUCCGUGUACGGCCCGCCCAUAGCUCCUUCGACGGCGCCGCCUAGGAACGCGGAGAAAAUAUGACAAAGGAACGGCCAAAAAUAAAAAGAAAGACCUUUCUUUUGAAAAAACAAACAAAUAAAAGGAAUGCAACACGAGGACUUCCCAGGAGGUCACCCAUCCUAGUACUACUCUCGCCCAAGCACGCUUAACUUCGGAGUUCUGAUGGGAUCCGGUGCUUUAGUGCUGGUAUGAUCGCAUCCGACAUACCGUGCGUUCUCCUCCCCUUUAUGCCCGCGCCUCCGUGUACGGCCCGCCCAUAGCUCCUUCGACGAGCCCGCCUAGGAACGCGGAGAAAAUAUGACAAAGGAACGGCCAAAAAUAAAAAGAAAGACCUUUCUUUUGAAAAAACAAACAAAUAAAAGGAAUGCAACACGAGGACUUCCCAGGAGGUCACCCAUCCUAGUACUACUCUCGCCCAAGCACGCUUAACUUCGGAGUUCUGAUGGGAUCCGGUGCUUUAGUGCUGGUAUGAUCGCAUCCGACAUACCGUGCGUUCUCCUCCCCUUUAUGCCCGCGCCUCCGUGUACGGCCCGCCCAUAGCUCCUUCGACGGCGCCGCCUAGGAACGCGGAGAAAAUAUGACAAAGGAACGGCCAAAAAUAAAAAGAAAGACCUUUCUUUUGAAAAAACAAACAAAAAAAAGGAAUGCAACACGAGGACUUCCCAGGAGGUCACCCAUCCUAGUACUACUCUCGCCCAAGCACGCUUAACUUCGGAGUUCUGAUGGGAUCCGGUGCUUUAGUGCUGGUAUGAUCGCAUCCGACAUACCGUGCGUUCUCCUCCCCUUUAUGCCCGCGCCUCCGUGUACGGCCCGCCCAUAGCUCCUUCGACGGCGCCGCCUAGGAACGCGGAGAAAAUAUGACAAAGGAACGGCCAAAAAUAAAAAGAAAGACCUUUCUUUUGAAAAAACAAACAAAUAAAAGGAAUGCAACACGAGGACUUCCCAGGAGGUCACCCAUCCUAGUACUACUCUCGCCCAAGCACGCUUAACUUCGGAGUUCUGAUGGGAUCCGGUGCUUUAGUGCUGGUAUGAUCGCAUCCGACAUACCGUGCGUUCUCCUCCCCUUUAUGCCCGCGCCUCCGUGUACGGCCCGCCCAUAGCUCCUUCGACGGCGCCGCCUAGGAACGCGGAGAAAAUAUGACAAAGGAACGGCCAAAAAUAAAAAGAAAGACCUUUCUUUUGAAAAAACAAACAAAUAAAAGGAAUGCAACACGAGGACUUCCCAGGAGGUCACCCAUCCUAGUACUACUCUCGCCCAAGCACGCUUAACUUCGGAGUUCUGAUGGGAUCCGGUGCUUUAGUGCUGGUAUGAUCGCAUCCGACAUACCGUGCGUUCUCCUCCCCUUUAUGCCCGCGCCUCCGUGUACGGUCCGCCCAUAGCUCUUUAGUUGGCGCCUCCUAGGAACGCGGAGAAAAUAUGACAAAGGAACGGCCAAAAAUAAAAAGAAAGACCUUUCUUUUGAAAAAACAAACGCCUCCGUGUACGGCCCGCCCAUAGCUCCUUCGACGGCGCCGCCUAGGAACGCGGAGAAAAUAUGACAAAGGAACGGCCAAAAAUAAAAAGAAAGACCUUUCUUUUGAAAAAACAAACAAAAAAAAGGAAUGCAACACGAGGACUUCCCAGGAGGUCACCCAUCCUAGUACUACUCUCGCCCAAGCACGCUUAACUUCGGAGUUCUGAUGGGAUCCGGUGCUUUAGUGCUGGUAUGAUCGCAUCCGACAUACCGUGCGUUCUCCUCCCCUUUAUGCCCGCGCCUCCGUGUACGGCCCGCCCAUAGCUCCUUCGACGGCGCCGCCUAGGAACGCGGAGAAAAUAUGACAAAGGAACGGCCAAAAAUAAAAAGAAAGACCUUUCUUUUGAAAAAACAAACAAAUAAAAGGAAUGCAACACGAGGAGUUCCCAGGAGGUCACCCAUCCUAGUACUACUCUCGCCCAAGCACGCUUAACUUCGGAGUUCUGAUGGGAUCCGGUGCUUUAGUGCUGGUAUGAUCGCAUCCGACAUACCGUGCGUUCUCCUCCCCUUUAUGCCCGCGCCUCCGUGUACGGCCCGCCCAUAGCUCCUUCGAUGGCGCCGCCUAGGAACGCGGAGAAAAUAUGACAAAGGAACGGCCAAAAAUAAAAAGAAAGACCUUUCUUUUGAAAAAACAAACGCCUCCGUGUACGGCCCGCCCAUAGCUCCUUCGACGGCGCCGCCUAGGAACGCGGAGAAAAUAUGACAAAGGAACGGCCAAAAAUAAAAAGAAAGACCUUUCUUUUGAAAAAACAAACAAAAAAAAGGAAUGCAACACGAGGACUUCCCAGGAGGUCACCCAUCCUAGUACUACUCUCGCCCAAGCACGCUUAACUUCGGAGUUCGGAUGGGAUCCGGUGCUUUAGUGCUGGUAUGAUCGCAUCCGACAUACCGUGCGUUCUCCUCCCCUUUAUGCCCGCGCCUCCGUGUACGGCCCGCCCAUAGCUCCUUCGACGGCGCCGCCUAGGAACGCGGAGAAAAUAUGACAAAGGAACGGCCAAAAAUAAAAAGAAAGACCUUUCUUUUGAAAAAACAAACAAAUAAAAGGAAUGCAACACGAGGACUUCCCAGGAGGUCACCCAUCCUAGUACUACUCUCGCCCAAGCACGCUUAACUUCGGAGUUCUGAUGGGAUCCGGUGCUUUAGUGCUGGUAUGAUCGCAUCCGACAUACCGUGCGUUCUCCUCCCCUUUAUGCCCGCGCCUCCGUGUACGGCCCGCCCAUAGCUCCUUCGACGGCGCCGCCUAGGAACGCGGAGAAAAUAUGACAAAGGAACGGCCAAAAAUAAAAAGAAAGACCUUUCUUUUGAAAAAACAAACAAAAAAAAGGAAUGCAACACGAGGACUUCCCAGGAGGUCACCCAUCCUAGUACUACUCUCGCCCAAGCACGCUUAACUUCGCAGUUCUGAUGGGAUCCGGUGCUUUAGUGCUGGUAUGAUCGCAUCCGACAUACCGUGCGUUCUCCUCCCCUUUAUGCCCGCGCCUCCGUGUACGGCCCGCCCAUAGCUCCUUCGACGGCGCCGCCUAGGAACGCGGAGAAAAUAUGACAAAGGAACGGCCAAAAAUAAAAAGAAAGACCUUUCUUUUGAAAAAACAAACGGCUCCGUGUACGGCCCGCCCAUAGCUCCUUCGACGGCGCCGCCUAGGAACGCGGAGAAAAUAUGACAAAGGAACGGCCAAAAAUAAAAAGAAAGACCUUUCUUUUGAAAAAACAAACAAAA